GACGAACGCUGGCGGCGUGCUUAACACAUGCAAGUCGAACGGAAAGGCCCUGCUUUUGUGGGGUGCUCGAGUGGCGAACGGGUGAGUAACACGUGAGUAACCUGCCCUUGACUUUGGGAUAACUUCAGGAAACUGGGGCUAAUACCGGAUAGGAGCUCCUGCUGCAUGGUGGGGGUUGGAAAGUUUCGGCGGUUGGGGAUGGACUCGCGGCUUAUCAGCUUGUUGGUGGGGUAGUGGCUUACCAAGGCUUUGACGGGUAGCCGGCCUGAGAGGGUGACCGGCCACAUUGGGACUGAGAUACGGCCCAGACUCCUACGGGAGGCAGCAGUGGGGAAUAUUGCACAAUGGGCGGAAGCCUGAUGCAGCAACGCCGCGUGCGGGAUGACGGCCUUCGGGUUGUAAACCGCUUUCGCCUGUGACGAAGCGUGAGUGACGGGAAUGGGUAAAGAAGCACAGGCUAACUACGU
Molecule: ribosomal RNA, 467 nt
Filed under: uncultured bacterium
Lineage: Bacteria
Description: partial 16S ribosomal RNA
Rfam family: Bacterial small subunit ribosomal RNA
Source: RNAcentral